GAGCCAGUGUACCGUUCCAGGUUACGGAGUUUCUGCACAGUUUGCAAACUGAUAAGGUGGAGAGCAUGUUCUGCCUUCUCCGUGCCUUUGUGCGCCACUGCAGCUCAUGCACCUGGUCCCCCUGAACAGUCGUGGGGGGAUGCAGCAUGGUGGUUUAAAGAAGCAGGCAGAUAUAACCCGCUUUUACCAAUGAAGUCUGGAUUCUUCUCAUUCAAAUUAUCUUUGGAACUAGCAUUGCAAGUCCGUGAGGUUUUCUAUCAGCGACUUCAUCUGAGGAAUGGAUUUCUGUCUUCACAGAGGAGGAGCAUCCAUUGUCUGUCAGAAGGAGCAUCCAUUGCCUGUCUGGAGGAGCAUCCAUUGUCUGUCAGAAGGAGCAUCCAUUGUCUGUCAGGAAGGAGCAUCCAUUGUC
This 409-nucleotide long non-coding RNA is filed under the name Rattus norvegicus (Norway rat). Its description in RNAcentral is "long non-coding RNA NONRATT001308". The record is from RNAcentral. Lineage: Eukaryota; Metazoa; Chordata; Mammalia; Rodentia; Muridae.